Molecule: ribosomal RNA, 490 nt
Filed under: uncultured bacterium
Lineage: Bacteria
Description: partial 16S ribosomal RNA
Rfam family: Bacterial small subunit ribosomal RNA
Source: RNAcentral
AUUGAACGCUGGCGGCAGGCCUAACACAUGCAAGUCGAACGGUAACAGGAAACAGCUUGCUGUUUCGCUGACGAGUGGCGGACGGGUGAGUAAUGUCUGGGAAACUGCCUGAUGGAGGGGGAUAACUACUGGAAACGGUAGCUAAUACCGCAUAACGUCGCAAGACCAAAGAGGGGGACCUUCGGGCCUCUUGCCAUCAGAUUUGCCCAGAUGGGAUUAGCUAGUAGGUGGGGUAACGGCUCACCUAGGCAACGAUCCCUAGCUGGUCUGAGAGGAUGACCAGCCACACUGGAACUGAGACACGGUCCAGACUCCUACGGGAGGCAGCAGUGGGGAAUAUUGCACAAUGGGCGCAAGCCUGAUGCAGCCAUGCCGCGUGUAUGAAGAAGGCCUUCGGGUUGUAAAGUACUUUCAGCGGGGAGGAAGGGAGUAAAGUUAAUACCUUUGCUCAUUGACGUUACCCGCAGAAGAAGCACCGGCUAACUCCGUG